Long non-coding RNA from Priapulus caudatus, 327 nucleotides. RefSeq lists it as uncharacterized. Lineage: Eukaryota; Metazoa; Priapulida; Priapulimorpha; Priapulimorphida; Priapulidae. The transcript is spliced from 3 exons. The record is from RefSeq and is a predicted model, not a curated record.
CUGACAGAGAGAGAGAGAUAGAGACGAGCAGAGGAACGUCGUGAGAGCUCAUAUACCACCGUAGCAUCGAGAAAGAAAGAGCGAGAGAGAAAGAGAGAGAAAGAGGGAGAAAGAUAGAGAGAGAGAGUAAUACACGACAGCGGUGAGCUGGUGACCAUGCAAGGCAUUCUAUAUCUACUGGCCGCAGUGGCCGCGGUCAGUGCUACGGAUCUGCUGUCGUCAUCGUCGUACAGGGGUUCGAGGUCCGGGUCCGACGCCUACACCUACCAGCAGAGGUCCCCUCGCACGAGCUAUGGUUAUGACUACAACAGCGCUCCUGUUUACAGG